GCGGGCUGCUGGAGGGCAUCCUGGCGGCGUCUCACCUCAGCGAGUCUGGGCUUUGGCUGGCGGUAGGAAGCAGGCGAGGCGCCCGAGGAGAGGGGAUGGUGAAGGAGGAAGCACCGGGGAUAUGGGACAAUGGCUGAGAAAAGUAGCGCGAGCUGUCGGGAGAAAUCGGAGGGAAGGGACAGCGUGCGCGCCGACUGCGUCCUGAAGCGGGGGACUGAGGGCAGCACGCACUUUACCCUUUUAAAGUUUUAUUUCUUGGAAACCCAAUUUGAAGGAAUUUUGUUGAUUUUGUUGCUAUUUAAACAAAAGGAGAAACGCCCACCAUCUGAAUGCAGCGCUGGCUUUAAAGGUCUACGGGAGACACUAGCAGGCCCCAUCAGUUAGCUGCCUCCACUGGAAACCGCCUGGAAAAGCAAAAGGUCGUGGAAGACUUUCUCCACAGCAUCAAUUUUACAUGUCUGAAGAUGUUGAAAACCUAUAACUUACCAUAUGAUAUUGAAUAGAAGUGGUUAGUUCUUCAGGUUGCCUGGCUCCAUCAGUAGAGCAUGCGACUCUUGAUCUCAGGUUUGUAAGUUUGAGCCCCACAUUGGGUAUAGA
Molecule: non-coding RNA, 597 nt
Organism: Leptonychotes weddellii (Weddell seal)
Lineage: Eukaryota; Metazoa; Chordata; Mammalia; Carnivora; Phocidae
Source: RefSeq, a predicted model, not a curated record